This is a long non-coding RNA of Heterocephalus glaber (naked mole-rat), 3478 nucleotides long. Lineage: Eukaryota; Metazoa; Chordata; Mammalia; Rodentia; Bathyergidae. The record is from Ensembl.
CGCCGGGCCAAGGCAUAAACAAGUGGCCCGGGCUGGGUGUGGCGGGACCGCGCUCGCCUAGGUGCUUGGGCGCUGCACGCGCUGGAUGCUUAUAGGUGUCCCAGAGAGCCCUUGGGGCCCGCGUGGGUGAGGGCCUGCUCGAGCCUCGGGAGAGUUGCAUUUCUCCGGAGAAGAGCGGGAAAAGGGCCAGGACAGCCCUCUUUGCUUUGCAGAAUGCUUGAGCAAAAAUCCAUUCCUUGGAGAACCACACUGGCUUCAAGUUACCAACCCUUCACACUUAUUAGGGCCAUCUAGGGGAAACAGCCCUAGAAGAGGCGGCGGCUUUAACGUCAGAACACUUGGAUUCAUUUCCUGUGCUGCUGUUUCCCAGCUGUAACAAGGCUUUAAAUCCUUCCCAGCCUCAUUUUCUUCCUCUGAAAUGGGCACAAUACUGAAAUGAGGAAUCGAGGAGAUACAGUAUGGAAAACAUUUAGGAACGGUCCCUAAAGAGCGGAUGACCCCUAGCAUGAGACUCAGACGAGAAGCGGGGAGAGGAGUCAGAGAGUGAGACAAGAUCCAACUUUGGCAUCUGAAGGUUUUUUGAAGGAGUGGACAUCAGACCAGGGUUUAAAAGAAAGGGUCACUAAUUUGGAUGAGGAAGCUGUGGCCUCUCCCUUCCCCUGUGCUGUAGCAAGCUAGUGAGUUUCUGUCCCUUGCAAACAGAAAGACUUCUGAAUGCACUGAAAUUUGGGGCCUUUGAAAGGAGUCCCUGAAGUUCAUCCAUUGGAAUCUUCUUUGGCUUCCGCUCUGACGGCUCUAUGUGACAGCCUCCUGGCCAGUCUUCCUGUCUUUAGUGGCCGGCUAGUUUCAGAAUGGACACCCAGUUCCUCAUGGUGGCCCCCAUGGUCCUCUGCAGCCCUGGUCGCUCCAGUUACUGUGUCCUCCAGUGUCGUGAAACACAAGAGGUUUCUCCCCAUGCUUUGUCUCCUCUCCCUGUGCGCAGGCAGCUUCUCCCUCCCGUGUUGGUCAUUCCCAUUGGCCCUUCUCUGUCUGGACCCCUACCUGCCACUCCUGAGCUGGACCUCUGGCUUCCUGCUGUAUUUGAUCACAGUGAGCUGGACUCAGAGAAGGGAGAAGGACCCUUCCUGCCUGCCCGGGCCACAACCCCAACCUGUGCCGUGUGACCUGGCUCAUCCUGUGUGUGAGAAAGGGCUCCCUCCCCUUGCUCCUCACACCUGAAGGAGGUGACUGUCACCGGCCCCCAGGUACAUCACCUGCUCCUGUGUCUGCCCUCUGCCUCGGUAAUUCUCCCUCGAAGGAGCUGCCAGUUCCUGCCAGGAUCCCAGCUGCCUGAACAGCCCGGGCUGCCCGCUGUGAGCCGCUCGCUGCAAACCCUCCUGCAGGCACAGAUGCACCCUUGAUUGGACCUCCCUCCCCUGAGCCAGUCAGAUUCUGAGCGAUCCAAGCUUCACACGUUUGCAGGACUCCGGGAAGCACUGUUGAAACUGCCGUGCUCCAGGACACACAGCUUACUUAGAACCCAGCCUCUCAUGUGCCCUAGGCCUGUGUGACAGGGUCAGACCGUGUUGGUCCCUGAGGUCACGCGAAGUUGCAUGCGGCAGUGGCCUCAGCACCCUGGACAGCAGAGGGUCAGCACCUAAGAGUCCUGCUGGGGAGAAACACCUGCCCAGACAAGGGGAUGGACAGGCCACAAGGGACACAGGCCCCUGAGGAAGAAGGAGAGCUGCAGGACGACAGCCCAGUGCCCUUGAGUUCUGCCUGUGCUUUCUGUGUCCAUCUGGAAGAUGCUUCUGUAUCUUUGCAAUACGUUUCUCUCUCACUGUCACAGGCUUCUGUCCUUGACAACCAAGUGAAGCUAGAUCAGGCCCCAAAGGUUUUUCUUCUUCGUCUUCACCUGGAUCACACCUCUCCUUCUCCCAGACACCUCCACUGUGAGCCCCGGUGGGGAAGUCUUCCCAGGACCGCCAGGAUAGCAUGGGGACCCCUGCCCUGAGCUCUUCCUUCAACCUGCUCAGGUUGUGUGUAAGGGCCUGCCUCCCACCCAACUCUCAAGUGUUCUGCUGCCCCCAGGUGGUGACAUGGGCAGGAGGCCCCUUGAAACAUCUCUGGUUCAAGGUCAAAGCCCCAAGCAGCACAGGCAUUGAACUAUCACACAGUAUCCCAUCAGUAUGUACAAUUAAAGUAUUACAUAUUAACUAAAAAGAAAAACUAGGGCCGGGGAUUUAGCUCAGUGGUUCCACCGCCUGCCCUGCAAGUGCAAGGUCCCGAGUUAAAUCCGUGGUUCCAGAAAAAAAAAAGAAAGAAAAACUGAAAUGAAAUAAGCCAGGGACCUUGGGACCAAAUGUCAAGAUGAAGGGGAGAAGGAGCAAGGAGCGUUGGAGCUCAGAGAGCUGGUCCUGCCCUGUGGCACAGUAGCAGCUGCAGCUCAAGGCUCCAUGCUGGGCUGGCUGCCCUCUCUACUUGCUGCUGUGCUCGAAUGGAGUGGAAAUCUCUUGAGGGGAGGAAGCGUAUCCCUCUGCUGAGAAAGUGAGAGGCUCAUUAUUUCACUGAGAUUUCAGACGUUGUGUUCAUUUGCUAUGGCUGCUCUGAAACUACACGAACCAGGUGGCUUAACAACAGAUAUCUUGGUCUCACAGUUCGAAAGGCUACAAAUCCAAGAUCAAGAUAUCCACGGAGCUGGUUCUGUCUGGGGCUUGUUCCAUGGCGCUCGGCUAACUUCUGGCAGCUGCCUGGCAGUAGCCGUGUCCUUUGGCUCGAGACACAUCACUCUCUACCUUCCCGUUCACAUGGAGUUCUCUCUGAGUGCUCAUCGCUGUCCAGAAUCUCUCCUUUUCUUAGGACAGAACUUGCAUCCAAUUGGAGACCCACCCUAUUCCAAUGUGAUCUCAUCUGAAUGAAUGACAUUGGCAACAGCCUUGUACUGUGUGUAGCUCCGAGGGCCUGUGGGUCACGACUCCAACAUGUGAAUGUCAGGGGUACAAAUUCAGCCCAAAACAGGUGCCAAGGGCCAGGUUGCCUCAGCAGCUGGAUGGUUUGUGAGAAGGCCCGGUCUCUUUUCUGUGCAUGCAUUCAUUCCCCAAAUCUGGUUCCCUCCUCAAAUGCUAGCUUUCUAACCUAUGUUUCUAACCUAUAGCUGUUCGUGUCCUUGCAAAAUGUAUGGGUUUAUAUUUCUAAUUCACGUAAGUUGAAUUCAUGGAAAUGUUAUAGAUGGCAAUGUUUCUUGGUUCUUUCCCUCGCCCAGCUGCACACACAUUGCUCUCUGUACAUCUACGCAGCAGCUUCUAACUGCUAACGAUUAUUCAGUGAUGUGGGUCCACCCUAAUCUACUCUCCACCCCCCUCCCAGGGAUGAAGACAGACUCGAGAUGCCAUAGGAAACAACACUGAGAAACAUCACAGCAUUUGCACCCUAUGAAUCCCCCUGAGAAUUUCCUUGGGAUCUAUGUAUUAAAUCUGUCAGGUCUUAGGGUACAUGGACC